RNAcentral lists this small RNA (838 nucleotides) under Pan troglodytes (chimpanzee). RNAcentral describes it as "processed transcript". The record is from RNAcentral. Lineage: Eukaryota; Metazoa; Chordata; Mammalia; Primates; Hominidae.
CGGGGGCCGUCAUUCGGUGGCGGGUCCCGGCCGCGGGGCUGGCGGGCUGAGGGGAGAAAAGAUGGCGGCGGCGGCGGCAGCUGGUGCGGCCUCCGGGCUGCCGGGUCCAGUGGCACAAGGAUUGAAGGAAGCGUUAGUGGAUACGCUCACCGGGAUCCUAUCCCCAGUACAGGAGGUGCGGGCGGCUGCUGAAGAACAGAUUAAGGUGCUGGAGGUGACGGAGGUAUAGCGUAAGCACUGUCCACCUGCGAAGGGCGCCCCUCAAGGAUCCAGACGCACUCCUGGGCAUGUGGCGGGCACUGAGCCGAGCGGAAGGCGGCCACGCUCGGAAAAAGAAUUUGGUGUUCACUUGGCAGAACUGACUGUAGAUCCCCAGGGGGCACUGGCAAUCCGUCAGCUGGCAUCAGUCAUCUUGAAACAAUAUGUGGAGACUCACUGGUGUGCCCAAUCAGAGAAAUUUAGGCCUCCUGAAACUACAGAAAGGGCAAAAAUUGUUAUCCGGGAGCUAUUGCCUAAUGGGUUGAGAGAAUCGAUAAGCAAAGUGCGCUCCAGUGUGGCCUAUGCAGUGUCAGCCAUUGCCCACUGGGACUGGCCUGAAGCUUGGCCCCAACUCUUCAACCUGCUCAUGGAGAUGUUGGUGAGCGGAGACUUAAAUGCCGUCCAUGGAGCCAUGCGUGUGCUGACAGAAUUCACUCGUGAAGUAACAGACACACAGAUGCCACUUGUUGCUCCUGUCAUUCUCCCAGAGAUGUAUAAGAUCUUCACCAUGGCUGAGGUGUAUGGUAUUCGAACCCGUUCCCGAGCCGUGGAGAUUUUUACCACUUGUGCCCAUAUGAUC